RNAcentral lists this ribosomal RNA (466 nucleotides) under uncultured ammonia-oxidizing beta proteobacterium. RNAcentral's name for it is "bacterial SSU rRNA". It matches the Rfam family "Bacterial small subunit ribosomal RNA", at positions 198 to 645 of the family's 1533-position model. Lineage: Bacteria; Pseudomonadati; Pseudomonadota; Betaproteobacteria. The record is from RNAcentral.
GGAGGAAAGCAGGGGAUCGUAAGACCUUGCGCUUUUGGAGUGGCCGAUGCCUGAUUAGCUAGUUGGUGGGGUAAAGGCCUACCAAGGCGACGAUCAGUAGUUGGUCUGAGAGGACGACCAGCCACACUGGGACUGAGACACGGCCCAGACUCCUACGGGAGGCAGCAGUGGGGAAUUUUGGACAAUGGGCGAAAGCCUGAUCCAGCAAUGCCGCGUGAGUGAAGAAGGCCUUCGGGCUGUAAAGCUCUUUCAGUCGAGAAGAAAAGAUUGUGAUGAAUAAUCACAGUUCAUGACGGUAUCGACAGAAGAAGCACCGGCUAACUACGUGCCAGCAGCCGCGGUAAUACGUAGGGUGCAAGCGUUAAUCGGAAUUACUGGGCGUAAAGGGUGCGCAGGCGGCUUUGUAAGUCAGAUGUGAAAUCCCCGGGCUUAACCUGGGAAUUGCGUUUGAAACUACAAAGCUAGA